This 468-nucleotide ribosomal RNA is filed under the name uncultured bacterium. RNAcentral's name for it is "partial 16S ribosomal RNA". It matches the Rfam family "Bacterial small subunit ribosomal RNA", at positions 28 to 507 of the family's 1533-position model. The record is from RNAcentral.
GACGAACGCUGGCGGCGUGCUUAACACAUGCAAGUCGAACGGAAAGGCCCUGCUUUUGUGGGGUGCUCGAGUGGCGAACGGGUGAGCAACACGUGAGUAACCUGCCCUUGACUUUGGGAUAACUACAGGAAACUGGGGCUAAUACCGGAUAGGAGCUCCUGCUGCAUGGUGGGGGUUGGAAAGUUUCGGCGGUUGGGGAUGGACUCGCGGCUUAUCAGCUUGUUGGUGGGGUAGUGGCUUACCAAGGCUUUGACGGGUAGCCGGCCUGAGAGGGUGACCGGCCACAUUGGGACUGAGAUACGGCCCAGACUCCUACGGGAGGCAGCAGUGGGGAAUAUUGCACAAUGGGCGGAAGCCUGAUGCAGCAACGCCGCGUGCGGGAUGACGGCCUUCGGGUUGUAAACCGCUUUCGCCUGUGACGAAGCGUGAGUGACGGUAAUGGGUAAAGAAGCACCGGCUAACUACGUG